This is a non-coding RNA of Nicotiana tabacum (common tobacco), 302 nucleotides long. Lineage: Eukaryota; Viridiplantae; Streptophyta; Magnoliopsida; Solanales; Solanaceae. The record is from RefSeq and is a predicted model, not a curated record.
CUGUACUAUAAAACUACAAACGUAGAAAAAACGAUUGAGUUAUCUUAGUGGGAAAUUUAUUUCAAGCUUGCUGGCAGGAAGAUAAGUGAAGCAAUGUGUAAAAUUAUUGAAGAAUUAGCAGUUGCAGGUGUCUUGUUUACUGGAGUUGCUGCUUUCAUAAACAAUUUUGAUAUGAGAAAGGCAUAUGAUAAAACCAUGGGAAGGGCUCAUAGAGAGUAUACCACGUGGAUCAAUGGUGAGGAAAAGACUAGAGGAACACUGGCCAAGGACUAAUACUGAUUACCUUAAUUCUAAGUAAAUUA